AAUUGUAUUACAUAUGGAUGUACCACAAUACCUGAUCUCGUUUGGUCCCGGAGGCUAAGCAGGGAUUGGCUUGGUUAGUACUGGGACGGGAGACCGCUGGGAAUACCAUGUACUGCAGUGA
Molecule: ribosomal RNA, 121 nt
Filed under: Periophthalmus magnuspinnatus
Lineage: Eukaryota; Metazoa; Chordata; Actinopteri; Gobiiformes; Gobiidae
Source: RNAcentral